AUCUACGGCCAUACCACCCUGAAUGCACCCAAUCUCAUCUAAUCUCGGAAGAUAAGCAGGGUCAGGCCUGGUUAGCACUUGGAUGGGAGACUGCUUGGGAAUACCAGGUGCUGUAGGCU
Molecule: ribosomal RNA, 119 nt
Filed under: Cebus imitator (Panamanian white-faced capuchin)
Lineage: Eukaryota; Metazoa; Chordata; Mammalia; Primates; Cebidae
Source: RNAcentral